RNAcentral lists this unclassified non-coding RNA (590 nucleotides) under Fusarium oxysporum. Its description in RNAcentral is "partial miscellaneous RNA". The record is from RNAcentral. Lineage: Eukaryota; Fungi; Ascomycota; Sordariomycetes; Hypocreales; Nectriaceae.
AUUUCCCCAAUGGGUUCUCCGGAUUUCUGGAGACUUGUAGGGGUUGUGGGUUUUUUGAUGUGUCGUCUCCGGACGGGCGGUGCAGGGUAGUCGAGUUAGACUUGGUGGAAUUCCGUCGAUAGGAGUUCCGUCGAGUCUGGUCGGCUGUGUGUUGGACGGUGCAGGGUAGGCUGCUUGGACAUGGUCGGUUCGAGGAUCGAUUCGAGGGCCGGCGCCUGGUCGAUGAUGUGUGAUGUAUGCGGUCUAGGGUAGGCUGGUUUGUCUUGGUUCAAUUUGAUGUCGGCUCCCGUGCAGGCCAGAGUGAGGGGGGUACAGGGUAGGCAGCUUAGAUUUGGUCGAUCUGGAGGUCGAUUCUCCGGCCGGCGGAUCUGACACUGUCGAAACGAGAUGCGAGCGGUGUAGGGUAGGCUAGUUUCGUCCUCGCCAGGUUGCGAUUUGGACGAGAUAUGUGGUUUAGGGUAGGCUCUAGGGUAAGUAGAAUUCGAGUUUCGUCGUCGACAGUUUUCUGUGGGUGUAUGGUAGGUACAGGGUAGGCAAAUCUCUCUCCGGCCAGUACUUGUCUGGUGGUCGUGAGUCGAUUUUUUUGUUUU